AUUGAACGCUGGCGGCAGGCCUAAUACAUGCAAGUCGAGCGGACGAAUGGAGAUUUCUCCUGGAUUCAGCGGCGGACGGGUGAGUAAGUCCUAGGAAGCUACCCGGUAUAUGAGGAUAACGUCCCGAAACGGGCCCGAAUACCGCAUAGGUUCUGAGUUAGAAAGGGGUGGAUCUUCGGACCUCACUCUAUUAGAUGAGCCUUGUACGUAUUAGCUAGUUGGUUGGGUAAAGGCGUACCAAGGCGACGAUCCGUAACUGAUCUGAGAGGAUGAUCAGUCACACUGGAACUGAGACACGGUCCAGACUCCUACGGGAGGCAGCAGUGGGGAAUCUUGGACAAUGGGCGAAAGCCUGAUGCAGCAAUGCCGCGUGUGUGAAGAAGGUCUUCGGAUUGUAAAGCACUUUAAGUUGGGAGGAAGGAAAGUAAGUUAAUCCCUUGCUGUUUUGACGUUACCUACACAAUAAGCCCCGGCUAACUUCGUG
RNAcentral lists this ribosomal RNA (484 nucleotides) under uncultured bacterium. Its description in RNAcentral is "partial 16S ribosomal RNA". It matches the Rfam family "Bacterial small subunit ribosomal RNA", at positions 30 to 507 of the family's 1533-position model. The record is from RNAcentral.